This 429-nucleotide ribosomal RNA is filed under the name Chloroflexota bacterium. RNAcentral describes it as "Chloroflexi bacterium partial 16S ribosomal RNA". It matches the Rfam family "Bacterial small subunit ribosomal RNA", at positions 355 to 776 of the family's 1533-position model. The record is from RNAcentral. Lineage: Bacteria; Bacillati; Chloroflexota.
UGGGGAAUAUUGCACAAUGGGCGCAAGCCUGAUGCAGCCAUGCCGCGUGUAUGAAGAAGGCCUUCGGGUUGUAAAGUACUUUCAGUCGGGAGGAAGGUGGUAAGGUUAAUAACCUUGGCAAUUGACGUUACCGACAGAAGAAGCACCGGCUAACUCCGUGCCAGCAGCCGCGGUAAUACGGAGGGUGCAAGCGUUAAUCGGAAUUACUGGGCGUAAAGCGCACGCAGGCGGUCUGUCAAGUCGGAUGUGAAAUCCCCGGGCUCAACCUGGGAACUGCAUCUGAUACUGGCAAGCUUGAGUCUCGUAGAGGGGGGUAGAAUUCCAGGUGUAGCGGUGAAAUGCGUAGAGAUCUGGAGGAAUACCGGUGGCGAAGGCGGCCCCCUGGACGAAGACUGACGCUCAGGUGCGAAAGCGUGGGGAGCAAACAGG